RNAcentral lists this ribosomal RNA (467 nucleotides) under uncultured bacterium. Its description in RNAcentral is "partial 16S ribosomal RNA". It matches the Rfam family "Bacterial small subunit ribosomal RNA", at positions 28 to 506 of the family's 1533-position model. The record is from RNAcentral.
GACGAACGCUGGCGGCGUGCUUAACACAUGCAAGUCGAACGGAAAGGCCCUGCUUUUGUGGGGUGCUCGAGUGGCGAACGGGUGAGUAACACGUGAGUAACCUGCCCUUGACUUUGGGAUAACUUCAGGAAACUGGGGCUAAUACCGGAUAGGAGCUCCUGCUGCAUGGUGGGGGUUGGAAAGUUUCGGCGGUUGGGGAUGGACUCGCGGCUUAUCAGCUUGUUGGUGGGGUAGUGGCUUACCAAGGCUUUGACGGGUAGCCGGCCUGAGAGGGUGACCGGCCAAAUGGGGACUGAGAGACGACCCAGACUCCUACGGGAGGCAGCAGUGGGGAAUAUUGCACGAUGGGCGGAGGCCUGAUGCAGCAACGCCGCGUGCGGGAUGACGGCCUUCGGGUUGUAAACCGAUUUCGCCUGUGACGAAGCGUGAGUGACGGUAAUGGGUAAAGAAGCACCGGCUAACUACGU